UGUGCAAUAGCUGGGUCAAAUGAUGCUUCCAUUCCAAGUUUUCCAAGGAAUCUCCAUACUGCUUUCUAGAUUGGCUACACCAAUUUGCAGUCCCAUCAGCAAU
This 103-nucleotide microRNA precursor is filed under the name Marmota monax (woodchuck). Lineage: Eukaryota; Metazoa; Chordata; Mammalia; Rodentia; Sciuridae. The record is from RNAcentral.